This 630-nucleotide ribosomal RNA is filed under the name Scheffersomyces segobiensis. Its description in RNAcentral is "eukaryotic LSU rRNA". It matches the Rfam family "Eukaryotic large subunit ribosomal RNA", at positions 1 to 648 of the family's 3401-position model. The record is from RNAcentral. Lineage: Eukaryota; Fungi; Ascomycota; Pichiomycetes; Serinales; Debaryomycetaceae.
UUGACCUCAAAUCAGGUAGGAUUACCCGCUGAACUUAAGCAUAUCAAUAAGCGGAGGAAAAGAAACCAACAGGGAUUGCCUUAGUAACGGCGAGUGAAGCGGCAAAAGCUCAAAUUUGAAAUCUGGCACCUUCGGUGUCCGAGUUGUAAUUUGAAGAAGGUAACUUUGGAGUCAGCUCUUGUCUAUGUUCCUUGGAACAGGACGUCACAGAGGGUGAGAAUCCCGUGCGAUGAGAUGUCUGAUUCUAUGUAAAGUGCUUUCGAAGAGUCGAGUUGUUUGGGAAUGCAGCUCUAAGUGGGUGGUAAAUUCCAUCUAAAGCUAAAUAUUGGCGAGAGACCGAUAGCGAACAAGUACAGUGAUGGAAAGAUGAAAAGAACUUUGAAAAGAGAGUGAAAAAGUACGUGAAAUUGUUGAAAGGGAAGGGUUUGAGAUCAGACUUGGUAUUUUGUAUGUCUUGCUUUCGGGUGGGGCCUCUACAGUUUACUGGGCCAGCAUCGGUUUGGACGGUAGGAUAAUGACAUUGGAAUGUGGCACCACCUUGGUGGUGUGUUAUAGACUUUGUUGAUACUGCCUGUCUAGACCGAGGACUGCGUCUUUGACUAGGAUGCUGGCAUAAUGAUCUUAAACCGC